AGGGUUGUGGCUCAGAGGUAGAGCGCUUGUCUAGCAUGCAUGAGACCCUGGGUUCAAUCCUUAGCACCACAU
RNAcentral lists this transfer RNA (72 nucleotides) under Ictidomys tridecemlineatus (thirteen-lined ground squirrel). RNAcentral describes it as "Spermophilus tridecemlineatus (thirteen-lined ground squirrel) tRNA". It matches the Rfam family "tRNA". Rfam says of the family: Transfer RNA (tRNA) molecules are approximately 80 nucleotides in length. Their secondary structure includes four short double-helical elements and three loops (D, anti-codon, and T loops). Lineage: Eukaryota; Metazoa; Chordata; Mammalia; Rodentia; Sciuridae. The record is from Rfam by way of RNAcentral.